GAAUACAUACUUCAUAGUGACAGUGAGUUGGAGCAGGUCAAAAAAUACUGCGGCGCAUAGGGAAAGAGGAGCAUUGUAUUCUUUCAAAGGAUCUGCGCUGUAGAUUAAUUAGAAAUACAGUGACCAACAUAGUGCCCAUACUGAGGACAACAACAAAGGAAGACAAAUAUACCCCCAAACAUGAGGGUUCUUCAAUGGCAAAACGUAUAGUCAAGUAUUAUCCAAAGCUAUAUGCAGCUGAAGAUCAAAAUUCAUGGGUGAGUGAACCUGUGUUUAAACAAUUCCUGAAAAGGCUACAGAAUAUCUGCACACCUCAGAAGCGACAGGAUUGUAUGCCUCAAAUAAAUAAAGAGAUGUCUCAGCGUCACCACUGACAAGCCUGAUGCUGCUGAAGUCGAGAAUUCAGGCAAGGCCGAUUCCACUGCAUCUUCGGGGAAUUCUAUUGCUUCAGCGAUGCUUGUUAACGUGUCACCUUCUAGUCGUACCCAAGAAGUUACAGCAGAGAAAGAAUGUGAACCAUCUGCUGUUGACACAAUAGUUGACAGCCACUAAAUACAGGCCAGGCACUACAAAACACUACAGGACCUUUACAAGAAGCCAAAGCCAAAUAAAUUUGCA
This is a long non-coding RNA of Erpetoichthys calabaricus (reedfish), 618 nucleotides long. RefSeq lists it as uncharacterized. The record is from RefSeq and is a predicted model, not a curated record. NCBI's taxonomy places the organism in Eukaryota, Metazoa, Chordata, Cladistia, Polypteriformes, Polypteridae. The transcript has 3 exons.